ACUACGCCUCAUGAAGCUGGAGUUACUAGUAAUCGCAGAUCAGAAUGCUGCGGUGAAUGCGUUCCCGGGUCUUGUACACACCGCCCGUCACACCACGGAAGUUGGGGCGCCCGAAGCCACUUAGCUAACCCUUUUGGGAAGCGAGUGUCGAAGGUGAAAUCAAUAACUGGGGUGAAGUCGUAACAAGGUACC
Molecule: ribosomal RNA, 192 nt
Filed under: uncultured bacterium
Lineage: Bacteria
Description: partial 16S ribosomal RNA
Rfam family: Bacterial small subunit ribosomal RNA
Source: RNAcentral